GAUGAACGCUGGCGGCGUGCCUAAUACAUGCAAGUCGAGCGAACAGACGAGGCGCUUGCUCCUCUGACGUUAGCGGCGGACGGGUGAGUAACACGUGGAUAACCUACCUAUAAGACUGGGAUAACUUCGGGAAACCGGAGCUAAUACCGGAUGAUAUAUUGAACCGCAUGGUUCAAUAGUGAAAGACGGUUUUGCUGUCACUUCUAGCUGGUUCCGCGCCGCAUUAGCUAGUUGGUACUGUUACAGGCUACCACGGCAACGCUGCGUGGCCGAACGGAGAGGGGGGUAGGCCACCCUGGAACGGAGACAGCGUCCAUGCUCCUGAGGGAGGGAGCAGUAUGGAACGUUACGCAACGGGGGAAAGCCUUACGGAGCAACGGCGCGUGAGUGAUGGAGGUGCUCGGAUCGGAAAACCCGGUUAUUAGGGAAGAACAAAUGUGUAAGGAACUAUGCACGUAUUGACGGUACCUAAUCAGAAAGCCACGGCUAACUACGUG
Molecule: ribosomal RNA, 497 nt
Filed under: uncultured bacterium
Lineage: Bacteria
Description: partial 16S ribosomal RNA
Rfam family: Bacterial small subunit ribosomal RNA
Source: RNAcentral